UACGAAGGUGGCAAGCGUUACUCGGAAUUACUAGGCGUAAAGGGCAGGUAGGUGGUUUUGUAAGUCUGUUGUGAAAGCUCCCGGCUUAACUGGGAGAGGUCAACGGAUACUGCAGAACUUGAGUAUGGGAGAGGUUACUGGAAUUCCCGGUGUAGCGGUGAAAUGCGCAGAGAUCGGGAGGAACACCAAUGGCGAAAGCAGGUAACUGGACCAUUACUGACACUCAGCUGCGAAAGCUAGGGGAGCAAACAGG
RNAcentral lists this ribosomal RNA (253 nucleotides) under uncultured bacterium. Its description in RNAcentral is "partial 16S ribosomal RNA". It matches the Rfam family "Bacterial small subunit ribosomal RNA", at positions 524 to 776 of the family's 1533-position model. The record is from RNAcentral.